AAAUAAGAAUUAAAAUAUUAUAUUUAAUUUCGACUUAAACCCCUGGAUUUCAAACAAUCCCUUAUUUA
RNAcentral lists this transfer RNA (68 nucleotides) under Rhyacophila quadrifida. RNAcentral describes it as "tRNA-Arg". Lineage: Eukaryota; Metazoa; Arthropoda; Insecta; Trichoptera; Rhyacophilidae. The record is from RNAcentral.